This 301-nucleotide ribosomal RNA is filed under the name uncultured bacterium. RNAcentral describes it as "partial 16S ribosomal RNA". It matches the Rfam family "Bacterial small subunit ribosomal RNA", at positions 509 to 807 of the family's 1533-position model. The record is from RNAcentral.
CAGUCGCCGCGGGAAUACGUAGGUGGCAAGCGUUGUCCGGAAUUAUUGGGCGUAAAGCGCGCGCAGGCGGUUUCUUAAGUCUGAUGUGAAAGCCCCCGGCUUAACCGGGGAGGGUCGUUGGAAACUGGGAGACUUAGAGUGCAGAAGGGGAGAGUGGAAUUCCAUGUGUAGCGGUGAAAUGCGUAGAUAUAUGGAGGAACACCAGUGGCGAAGGCGGCUUUCUGGACUGCAACUGACGCUGAGGCUCGAAAGCCAGGGGAGCGAACGGGAUUAGAUACCCGUGUAGUCCCUGUCUCUUAUA